RNAcentral lists this ribosomal RNA (249 nucleotides) under uncultured soil bacterium. Its description in RNAcentral is "partial 16S ribosomal RNA". It matches the Rfam family "Bacterial small subunit ribosomal RNA", at positions 26 to 285 of the family's 1533-position model. The record is from RNAcentral.
AGGACGAACGCUGGCGGCGUGCUUAACACAUGCAAGUCAAGGGGGCCCAGCAAUGGGCAACCGGCGAACGGGUGCGUAACACGUGAGCAACCUACCGAAAUGUGGGGGAUAGCCGGCCUAACGGCCGAGUAAUACCGCAUACGCUCUCGAUGAGGCAUUUCAUUGAGAGGAAACCUACGGGACAUUUCGAGGGGUCUCGCGGCCUAUCAGCUAGUUGCGAGGUAACGGCUCACCGAAGGCAACGCGGUA